CAGGGGGCUUGCAUGGCGACAUGGAGAGGAGGUCAUGAUGAAGAGAUGCAGAGAGAAAAGGCGAGAGAGCAAAAAAGGAGCAGGACGGGGAGAACUGAGAGGAGCAUCUGAGACGAUAACUGCCUGUUUGCUCACUCUUGCCUUCUUACUCCCCCUCCUGUCCUUUCACUUCCACACACAGAACAAACGCUCAGACAACUAGGUAGGCACAGCGGAGCUGAAAGCUGUGAGGGAUGGAUAAAAGGGUUCCCACGUGAAAGGCAUGAAUCUACGAGAAAAGAGGAGGGUGAAAUAGAGGAAGACACAACCAGAGAGGAGGAGGAGGAGAGAGAGAGAGAGAGAGAAAGAGGUGAGCUGGAGAGGAAAGGGAGACAAGAGAGGAGCAGAUGGACUCUGCACAGAGGAAGGGGAACGGUGCGAAGCUCACUGAGAAGCAGUGACAGAGAGGUGGGAAUUAAAAAAAAAAAAAGCAAACAUGAAUGCCAGAGGGAUGGAAGAAUGGGAGGAAGCGACGUGAAGGAAUAGCUUGGGAAGAGGGAGCGAGCACUUGUGGGAAGACAACACAGAAGGAAAACAGGAAGAGAGAGAGAGAGAUGAGGUAUGUGUGACUCAGUUCUGUGUCCUGAUGGAAGAUAGUACAGCAAUCUCAUCAGCAGCCUUCUUGCAGCAUCACCAUAGAGAUGGAGAGUUAGGCAAAUCAGAGAAGAGAAUAUGCCUAUCUGCGGGCCAGGUGUUUCCACUGGACUGACAGCAUGCUGGCUUCAUAGGUAACACACUAUGAUGUACUCUUGGGACAUUAGUUUGGACAGCAACGUCGCAGCCUGGCAGAGAGUAACCCCCCCAGGGGAGUGGACUGUGCUGCAUACGUGUAACAUGCUGCUGUGCACUGGACAUGUCCGUCUGACCACGAGUUACGAGGUGUUGCUGAAUUCACACAGAGACCUUGGGAACCUUGGAAAUCUGUGGCACAGAGUGGCGAGGAGACGUGAACAGUAGAAGAAACAAACUGAAGCAGCCAGCGAAGCAAGACAAUUGGGCUUGCAGAAUGAGCACAAGGAAGAACAAUGUUUACUCUGGCUUUCUUUCACAGACACCCAAACAUUCUCAAAUUUGCUCACAGUUGGCUAAGUAUGCUUAUCACCAUCCACUGGCCUACAUAUAGGGAU
Long non-coding RNA from Astatotilapia calliptera (eastern happy), 1166 nucleotides. The record is from Ensembl. Lineage: Eukaryota; Metazoa; Chordata; Actinopteri; Cichliformes; Cichlidae.